RNAcentral lists this ribosomal RNA (468 nucleotides) under uncultured bacterium. RNAcentral describes it as "partial 16S ribosomal RNA". It matches the Rfam family "Bacterial small subunit ribosomal RNA", at positions 28 to 507 of the family's 1533-position model. The record is from RNAcentral.
GACGAACGCUGGCGGUGUGCUUAACACAUGCAAGUCGAACGGUAAGGCCCUUUCGGGGGUACACGAGUGGCUAACGGGCGAGUAACACGUGAGUAACCUGCCCUCAUCUCUUGGAUAACAGUCGGAAACGGUUGCUAAUACUGUAUAUGAGCUUGCAAGGCAUCUUGUGGGUCGGAAAGAUUUGUUCUGGUUGGGGAUGGACUCGCGGCCUAUCAGCUUGUUGGUGUGGUAGUGGCUCACCAAGGCUUCGACGGGUAGCCGGCCUGAGAGGGCGACCGGCCACAUUGGGACUGAGAUACGGCACAAACUCCUACGGGAGGCAGCAGUGGGGAAUAUUGCACAAUGGACGGAAGUCUGAUGCAGCAACGCCGCGUGCGGGAUGACGGCCUUCGGGUUGUAAACAGCUUUCAAUUGUGAUGAAGAUUUUUUGUGACGGUAGCAGAAGAAGAAGCACCGGCUAACUACGUG